Molecule: ribosomal RNA, 253 nt
Filed under: uncultured bacterium
Lineage: Bacteria
Description: partial 16S ribosomal RNA
Rfam family: Bacterial small subunit ribosomal RNA
Source: RNAcentral
UACGGGGGGAGCAAGCGUUGUUCGGAAUUACUGGGCGUAAAGGGCGCGUAGGCGGUCUUGUAAGUCCUGUGUGAAAUCCCUCGGCUCAACUGAGGAACUGCACGGGAAACUGCUUGGCUUGAGUUCGGGAGAGGGAAGCGGAAUUCCGGGUGUAGCGGUGAAAUGCGUAGAUAUCAGGAGGAACACCGGUGGCGAAGGCGGUUCUCUGGGCAUUACCUGACGCUGAGGAGCGAAAGUGUGGGGAGCGAACAGG